GUGAGUCAAUUAAAUCUUCUUCCUUUACAAAUUACCCAGUCUCAGGAAAGUUCUUUAUAGCAGUGUGAGAAAAGACUAACAUACCAUGUCUUGACAGGUUGCCCAGGCUGGUCUCAGACUCAUGGACUCAAGUGAUCCACACAUCUUUGCCUCCCAAAUUGCUGGGAUAACACAUGUGAUUCAUGGUGCUCAGCCUAAAUCUUUGUUUCAUGAUCUUUUAGUUGAAAGAAAUCAAAACUUCAAUGCCAUUGGACACUUCAUGAAGAUGUGUCAAGAUAAGAUCCCAUUCCUGUUUCCCUCUGUGAUGAUGUCACUGAUCUGUUCUUGGAAUUGGAAGAGGAAUCAAGAAAGAACAGUAACAGAAAAGAGAAAACCUGAUACUAGUGGAAAAAAUGAGUGAGAUGCAUCACAGACUGAAGAAUCUGCCUCCCAGAAUGAGCAACAACCCAUUUGAAGCAGUAAAAGGAAAUUCUAAGUAAUGAUCUGUUAAGUACUAUCUGCUAAUAUUUUCCCUGGAUCUGUAAUGUGGCAUGAACACUAGUUCCUUAAACUUGCAUUGCAUACCAAUAAACAUAAAUAAAUUACCACAAAUAAAUGUC
Macaca mulatta (Rhesus monkey) is the source of this 599-nucleotide non-coding RNA. NCBI's taxonomy places the organism in Eukaryota, Metazoa, Chordata, Mammalia, Primates, Cercopithecidae. The record is from RefSeq and is a predicted model, not a curated record.